This 262-nucleotide ribosomal RNA is filed under the name uncultured bacterium. RNAcentral's name for it is "partial 16S ribosomal RNA". It matches the Rfam family "Bacterial small subunit ribosomal RNA", at positions 524 to 776 of the family's 1533-position model. The record is from RNAcentral.
UACGUAGGGUGCAAGCGUUGUCCGGAAUUAUUGGGCGAUAAAGAGCUCGUAGGCGGUUCUGUCGCGGUACGGCUGUGAAAACUCGGGGCUCAACCCCGAGCCUGCAGUCCGAUAACGGGCAGACGUAGAGUGCUGUAGGGGAGACGUGGAAUUCCUGGUGUAGCGGUGAAAUACGCAGAUAUCAGGAGGAACACCGGUGGCGAAGGCGGGUCUCUGGGCGAGUAACUGACGCUGAGGAGCGAAAGCGUGGGGAGCGAACAGG